GACAGAGGUGCCGAGCGUUAGGCGGAAUCACUGGGCUUAAAGGGUGCGUAGGCGGUCGCGCAAGUCGGAUGUGAAAUCUCAGGGCUCAACCCUGAAACUGCAUUCGAUACUGCGUGGCUAGAGUGCUGGAGGGGAGACUGGAAUUUACGGUGUAGCAGUGAAAUGCGUAGAUAUCGUAAGGAAGACCAGUGGCGAAGGCGAGUCUCUGGACAGCAACUGACGCUGAGGCACGAAGGCCAGGGGAGCAAACGGG
RNAcentral lists this ribosomal RNA (253 nucleotides) under uncultured bacterium. RNAcentral describes it as "partial 16S ribosomal RNA". It matches the Rfam family "Bacterial small subunit ribosomal RNA", at positions 524 to 776 of the family's 1533-position model. The record is from RNAcentral.